CUCGUAGGCGGUUGCGUAAGUCGGAUGUGAAAACUCAGAGCUCAACUCUGAGAUGCCAUCCGAUACUGCGCUGACUUGAAUCCAGUAGGGGAGUGUGGAAUUCCUGGUGUAGCGGUGAAAUGCGCAGAUAUCAGGAGGAACACCGAUGGCGAAGGCAGCACUCUGGGCUGGUAUUGACGCUGAGGAGCGAAAGCGUGGGUAGCAAACA
Molecule: ribosomal RNA, 208 nt
Filed under: uncultured bacterium
Lineage: Bacteria
Description: partial 16S ribosomal RNA
Rfam family: Bacterial small subunit ribosomal RNA
Source: RNAcentral